RNAcentral lists this ribosomal RNA (498 nucleotides) under uncultured bacterium. Its description in RNAcentral is "partial 16S ribosomal RNA". It matches the Rfam family "Bacterial small subunit ribosomal RNA", at positions 28 to 507 of the family's 1533-position model. The record is from RNAcentral.
GACGAACGCUGGCGGCGUGCCUAAUACAUGCAAGUCGAGCGGACGGAUGGGAGCUUGCUCCCAGACCGUCAGCGGCGGACGGGUGAGUAACACGUGGGCAACCUGCCUGUAAGACUGGGAUAACUCCGGGAAACCGGGGCUAAUACCGGAUAACUCUUUCCCUCACAUGAGGGAAAGCUGAAGGAUGGCAUCUCGCUAUCACUUACAGAUGGGCCCGCGGCGCAUUAGCUAGUUGGUGAGGUAACGGCUCACCAAGGCGACGAUGCGUAGCCGACCUGAGAGGGUGAUCGGCCACACUGGGGCUGAGACACGGCCCAGACUCCUACGGGAGGCAGCAGUAGGGAAUCUUCCGCAAAGGACGAAAGUCUGACGGAGCAACGCCGCGUGAGUGAUGAAGGUUUUCGGAUCGUAAAACUCUGUUGUCAGGGAAGAACAAGUACCGGAGUAACUGCCGGUACCUUGACGGUACCUGACCAGAAAGCCACGGCUAACUACGUG